UCCUUUCUUGGUUUAUUACUAGUUUGCGCUUCCGUUGUUAAAUAAAUACACAAAAUUGAAAUUCCGAUUAUUUGGGUUAGGAAUUGGAAUAGAAAUUCCCUUCGAAAACCUUGUUUCCGAUCCCAAAUAUAUAUAUAUAUAUAUAUAUAAUAAAAUCAAAAUCUUUUGGGUAAUUAAAUUAAUUACCAGUGGUUUGCUUGGAUUCUCUAAGACGUCUCUUUAUCUCCUUUUCUUCCUUUC
RNAcentral lists this long non-coding RNA (240 nucleotides) under Prunus persica (peach). Its description in RNAcentral is "long non-coding RNA (PPER_LNC006952)". The record is from RNAcentral. Lineage: Eukaryota; Viridiplantae; Streptophyta; Magnoliopsida; Rosales; Rosaceae.